CUUGAAAGACAGGCGUGAAAGCCCCGGGCUUAACCUGGGAAUUGCGCUUGAUACUCUGAGACUGGAGUGCGGGAGAGGAGAGUGGAAUUCCCAGUGUAGAGGUGAAAUUCGUAGAUAUUGGGAAGAACACCAGUGGCGAAGGCGGCUCUCUGGACCGGAACUGACGCUGAGGCGCGAAAGCGUGGGGAGCAAACAGGAUUAGAUACCCUGGUAGUCCACGCCGUAAACGAUGUGCGCUAGACGUUGGAAGGCUUAGCCUUUCGGUGUCGAAGCUAACGCGGUAAGCGCACCGCCUGGGGAGUACGGCCGCAAGGUUAAAACUCAAAGGAAUUGACGGGAGCCCGCACAAGCGGGGGAGCAUGUGGUUCAAUUCGACGCACCGCGAAGAACCUUACCAGCUCUUGACAUGUCCAGUAUGGGGCCAAGAGAUCGGCUUCUUCAGUUCGACUGGCUGGAACACAGGUGCUGCAUGGUUGUCGUCAGCUCGUGUCGUGAGAUGUUGGGUUAAGUCCCGCAACGAGCGCAAUCCUCAUCUUCAGUUGCCAUCAGGUUAAGCUGGGCACUCUGAAGGAACUGCCGGUGACAAG
This 587-nucleotide ribosomal RNA is filed under the name uncultured bacterium. RNAcentral describes it as "bacterial SSU rRNA". It matches the Rfam family "Bacterial small subunit ribosomal RNA", at positions 580 to 1162 of the family's 1533-position model. The record is from RNAcentral.